AGAGUUUGAUCAUGGCUCAGAAUGAACGCUGGCGGCGUGCUUCAGACAUGCAAGUCGUACGAGAAAACCCUUUCGGGGGUUAGUAAAGUGGCGCACGGGUGAGUAAUACUUAGGUAAUGUACCUUCACGCUGGGGAUAACCAGGCGAAAGCUUGGCUAAUACCGAAUGAGCCCUAUCUUUCAAAGAGAGAUCGGGCAAAGCCGUAAGGCGCGAGAAGAGCAGCCUGAGUCCCAUUAGUUAGUUGGUGAGGUAAUGGCUCACCAAGACUAGGAUGGGUAGCUGGUCUGAGAGGAUGAUCAGCCACACUGGUACUGCAACACGGACCAGACUCCUACGGGAGGCAGCAGUUAGGAAUUUUGCGCAAUGGGGGAAACCCUGACGCAGCAACGCCGCGUGAGUGAUGAAGGCCUUCGGGUUGUAAAGCUCUUUUGCCAGGGAAGAAUAAAAUGACGGUACCUGGUGAAUAAGCACCGGCUAACUCUGUGCCAGCAGCCGCGGUAAUACAGAGGGUGCAAGCGUUAUUCGGAAUUAUUGGGCGUAAAGCGCACGUAGGCGGUCUUUCAAGUCUGGUGUGAAAUCCCUGAACUCAAUUCAGGAAGUGCAUUGGAUACUGUUAGACUGGAGAAUGGGAGAGGAGAGCGGAAUUCCUGGUGUAGAGGUGAAAUUCGUAGAUAUCAGGAGGAACAACAGAGGCGAAGGCGGCUCUCUGGACCAUUUCUGACGCUGAGGUGCGAAAGCGUGGGGAGCAAACAGGAUUAGAUACCCCAGUAGUCC
This 774-nucleotide ribosomal RNA is filed under the name uncultured bacterium. RNAcentral's name for it is "bacterial SSU rRNA". It matches the Rfam family "Bacterial small subunit ribosomal RNA", at positions 8 to 796 of the family's 1533-position model. The record is from RNAcentral.